GAAGACAACAACGAUGGUGGCUACUUGAAGGCCCCUUUACUGCAGCUGUCUGUGGGCUGCAGUUCCCGCUUAAAAAGGAGACGAAGACAUGCAGCAGCUUUGGCUUCCGGUCCGAGAAAACAUGGUGCUUGGUAGGAAACCCCGGAGAGAGGAGCUCUGUUGCGUAGCUGCUGAAGCAUCCGUACCUCCGGCUGAAGCCACGUUAUCUCCUGAUCCAAGUACAGAUGAGGAAAGUAAAAGGAUUGACGUUGUUUGGUGCCAACAACACGCAUUGUCUACAGUCCGAACGGCAACCGUAAGAGGAUCCUAACAGACCUGCCAACCUCUCAGCCUACGAGCAGCAGAAUCCUCUGAGCAGCUGAUAAUUUGGCCAGAACUGUACAGCAGCAGCAGAAGAAGAGGCUGGAUGUCACAGAGUGUACAUAGACCAAUCGCAUCCUGUUUCUGCUCACAUGCUCGCCCUCAGCUGCACUUCACUCCACCCACUACCUUCUCCGUGUCAGAGAAGGAAGUCAAUAGACUGUUUCAGUGGCAGGAACCCUGUAAAGCAGCUGAGCCGGACUAUGUCUCCCCAUCCGCCCUGAAGCGCUGUGCUGAUCGGCUGUCUCCGGUUUUCGCAGACAUUUUUAACACCUCACU
Long non-coding RNA from Girardinichthys multiradiatus, 639 nucleotides. RefSeq lists it as uncharacterized. The record is from RefSeq and is a predicted model, not a curated record. The transcript has 3 exons. Lineage: Eukaryota; Metazoa; Chordata; Actinopteri; Cyprinodontiformes; Goodeidae.